UACGUAGGGCGCAAGCGUUGUCCGGAAUUAUUGGGCGUAAAGAGCUCGUAGGCGGUCUGUCGCGUCGGAUGUGAAAGCCCGGGGCUUAACCCCGGGUCUGCAUUCGAUACGGGCAGACUAGAGUGUGGUAGGGGAGAUCGGAAUUCCUGGUGCAGCGGUGAAAUGCGCAGAUAUCAGGAGGAACACCGGUGGCGAAGGCGGAUCUCUGGGCCAUUACUGACGCUGAGGAGCGAAAGCGUGGGGAGCGAACAGG
RNAcentral lists this ribosomal RNA (253 nucleotides) under uncultured bacterium. RNAcentral's name for it is "partial 16S ribosomal RNA". It matches the Rfam family "Bacterial small subunit ribosomal RNA", at positions 524 to 776 of the family's 1533-position model. The record is from RNAcentral.